AGCGAACGCUGGCGGCAGGCCUAACACAUGCAAGUCGAGCGCGUGUAGCAAUACACGAGCGGCAGACGGGUGAGUAACACGUGGGAACGUGCCCUUUGGUUCGGAAUAACUCAGGGAAACUUGAGCUAAUACCGGAUAAGUCCGUAAGGAGAAAGAUUUAUCGCCGAAGGAGCGGCCCGCGUCCGAUUAGCUAGUUGGUGGGGUAAUGGCCUACCAAGGCGACGAUCGGUAGCUGGUCUGAGAGGAUGACCAGCCACACUGGGACUGAGACACGGCCCAGACUCCUACGGGAGGCAGCAGUGGGGAAUAUUGGACAAUGGGCGCAAGCCUGAUCCAGCCAUGCUGCGUGGGUGAUGAAGGCCCUAGGGUUGUAAAAGCCCCUUUCGGCGGGGAAGAUAAUGACGGUACCCGCAGAAGAAGCCCCGGCUAACUUCGUGCCAGCAGCCGCGGUAAUACNAAGGGGGCUAGCGUUGCUCGGAAUCACUGGGCGUAAAGCGCACGUAGGCGGACUCUUAAGUCGGGGGCUGAAAUCCUGGAGCUCAACUCCAGAACUGCCUUCGAUACUGAGAGUCUUGAGUCCGGGAGAGGUGAGUGGAA
This 597-nucleotide ribosomal RNA is filed under the name uncultured bacterium. RNAcentral describes it as "bacterial SSU rRNA". It matches the Rfam family "Bacterial small subunit ribosomal RNA", at positions 28 to 666 of the family's 1533-position model. The record is from RNAcentral.